This 1088-nucleotide long non-coding RNA is filed under the name Lathyrus oleraceus (garden pea). RNAcentral's name for it is "Pisum sativum (pea) long non-coding RNA (PSAT_LNC014976)". Lineage: Eukaryota; Viridiplantae; Streptophyta; Magnoliopsida; Fabales; Fabaceae. The record is from RNAcentral.
UUCUUCUUCAGACUCUCUAAUUUCUCCAUUUUGUUUCUCUUUUCUUCUCUCUUCUCCCUUCUCUUUCCUCUUUUCUCUUCUUUCCCUUCUCUCUAAACCUCCUCCACAACUAGACUCUAACCACCACAAAAACCCUAGAAUCACCCUUAGGUACGCCGUCCCAACCACCACCUUCAAUCAUGUUCUUCAUGAACAUGAAACAUAAACUGAUAUUAUGAAUGCCACCCUCAAAACCACAGUGAGCCACCUUGAACCACCAUCUCCUACCCAAAACACCUUCCAUUUUCAUCUUCAUCCUCUGUCCCAAACCCUAAUUUAACCCAUAAACCAAUCAAACUCAAACCAAAUCCUUCAAAACAAACACUAAUCCAUAGAUCGUGACCUCACCAACACCAAUCAGGCCUUCAAACAUCAAAUCAAACCAAACAAAACCAAACCCUAAAACGCCUAUAUUCUUACAAAUAAAAAUCUUAACCAUUCUAAAAAAACCUAAAUCAAACCUCAAACAUGGAUUAAAGAAAAACUACGCCGACUCAUUAUCAAAUACAAAAACAACACACCUUUAGAUAUGAGUAAGAGUUCAAGAAAAAGAGAACCUACCGGGAGUGCCAUGUGUUCUUCCCAAAGGUAAACCCUCUCUCUUAUUUUUUCUUUUACUUGUUUAUUUUCAUCUUUCUUUAUUUGCUUUAUUUUUGACCUCUUCUCAUUUUUCUUUGUUGCGAGGUGUUGCUGUGUGGAGAAAAGCUUCAACGAAGGUUUUUAGAAUUAGGGUGAGGUUUGUCUUCAGCGUGAAGGCAAACCUUUAGGCUAGGGUUUGUGAAUUUUUGAUUGUGUCUCUGUAUAUUUUUAUUCCCUAUCCCUUUCAGUGUAAAUCUCUAGGGUUUUUUAUAGGGUUAGAAAUAGGUUAAACAAUUAUGUGGAUUGUUUGUUUUAGGAAUUUUUUCAUUGAGUUUGAUAUGAUUUGAUUCAGAUUCUUAGCUUAGGGCUCAAGUUUAUGUAUAUUAGAAAGACUCAAAUGUAACUACAAUAUGAUGUUAAUGAAAAUUCAGUUUUAUGUGACUUGAUCCAUUUUGGAUGUUUUGGAUGCA